UUUUCCUAGGGGGAGUGGUAGAUUAUUGUUUUUUUGCCUAACAAAUAUAUUCAUUUCAUUCAGGAGACCAGUAGAGAUAAAUGGUAUUUUGGGCUAUGAAACUGCCCCAGUAUAGCUUCAGAGGAGACCCUUCUUUCUGCUUGGGAGGCAAGGAUUAUUCCCUCCACCCCCUUUCCCUUCCCUUCUGCUCUUCUCUUUCAAAAAGCCUCACCUGUGAGACUGCAGAAAUUUACAACCCAAAGGGACCCAUGUUUCAAGGUUAAUGCAGUCAAUCCUGAUAUUCUUCUUGAAAAAUUAUCCAUUUCUAUACAUGAGAACAGUUGGUACUGGGCAGACGUCAAACAUUCUUGUGGACAUAAAGCCUGCUUAUUUUUUUAUUUCUUCUCUUUCUUCCACAUGAGGAUGGGAUUCUUUCUUGAGGUCAUUUAUCACGGUUGGUUCAGAAAUACAAUAAGGAAUACAAAAUAUAUAAGGAUACUGCAGGAAAUAAAUGUUUGUUUUCCUUUUUACCUAAGACACACAGAAACCACUCAAAGACAGAGGUCUGAAACUGCUGAGAAGCACAUGCAAGGGGCAGAGAAAGAAGAGCCCACAGUCUUGCAGAUCCCAGUCUCUUGAUUGGAAAUUCAUAAAGCCAUACUUACCAGGUUUUAUUAUGCCUCAAACCACCUGUGAAUCAAAAGUGUGGAUUCUGCUUUAGAAGUUCUGGGGUGUCUGUCUUUCUACAAAGGUUCCAGAUGAUGUCAAUGUUACUGGCCAUGUGAGCACAUGUUGAGCAGCCAGGCCUCAGAUACAGAAGGAGCAAAGCUCUGUGCUUACAUAGCCAUGGUAGCUUUGUUGCCCCAAGUAUGACCUGAAGACUAGCAGCAGCGUCCCACUGGGCAGUUUGGAACUGGAGGCCAAAGGAAAUACGUGCUUCUAUAUACACUUAACAAAUACCCUACCACAUUUCAAACCAUGUGGAAAUCUUAAUAAAAUUUCUACUACUGGGGUGCCUGGGUUGUGUAGUAGGUUCAUCGUCUCUUGGUUUUAGUUCAGGUUGUGAUCUCAGGGCUUUGAGCUCCACAGGGAGUCUGAGAUUUUCUCUCCCACUCCCUUUGCCCCUCCAGCUCAUGCUCUCUCUCUCUCUCUCUCACUCUAAAUAAAUCUUAAAAAAAAACUCUACUUUUAGAACAACCACAAUAAAGAUGAUAAAGGAUUAUGAUAUAUAAAACCUUGCCAUGUCCAACCUGUUCCCAAGCCACCAUUGUCCUUGGGAACCUGUGUGGUGGAGUUUGCAAGAAAGCAUGGGCUGGAAAUAACUGGUAAUGUUGCACAAUAGUGUGGAGCUAUAAAGAAAUAACAGUCUUUCUUUUGUUUAAGCUUUUUGGUAUAUUUUAAUUAGGACUAUUUUUAUAUUCAUUUUGGUCUUUAGAAAUCUUGUGUUGAAAAGAUUGUCUAUUUUGAUAAGCAAGUUUUGGGCAUCCUCUUAAAUGUGCUUGAGACAAGUCCUUAACUUCUCCACCCUAAUCCCAGCCCUGAUCAGAAGCAUAAGCAUCACCUGGGAGUUUUUAGAAAUGCAGGAUCUCAAGCCCCAUCCCAGACUGAUCAUGGAGCAAUUCAUGCACGUUAAAGUUUGAUAAGUGUCCUUAAGGGAUCAUGUUUUCAAACAGAAGUAGCUCAGUCUGUGUCUCACCUUAUCCUGGAAAGAGACUUUUGGUUUAAUGUUGAGUUAUCAGACCUGAGAUUCUAUGAGUUUCUAAAAUGAAGAUAGUCCUAAAUUUCCUCCAGAUUUACAAAGGUUGUAUGAAGUGUGUUUAUAUAGCAACUAGACUUUAGAGAUAGCCAUGAAGUCCUGUCUACUUUUUCUUCUUUAACUUAAAUAUGUGCAGAAAUAGAUUUCAACAUAGAAAGGUGGCUUUUGUAACUAGCAACUUAGUCCCAGAAGAAUCUUAAGGUAACAAGAAUAGA
This 1950-nucleotide long non-coding RNA is filed under the name Canis lupus familiaris (dog). Its description in RNAcentral is "lncRNA (ENSCAFG00030014161.1)". The record is from RNAcentral. Lineage: Eukaryota; Metazoa; Chordata; Mammalia; Carnivora; Canidae.